RNAcentral lists this long non-coding RNA (658 nucleotides) under Brassica napus (rape). Its description in RNAcentral is "long non-coding RNA (BNAP_LNC026714)". The record is from RNAcentral. Lineage: Eukaryota; Viridiplantae; Streptophyta; Magnoliopsida; Brassicales; Brassicaceae.
UUAAACUCUAAACCCUAAAACAUCAACUCUAAACCCCAAACCUUCAACUUUAAACCCUAAACCCUCAGCUUUAAACCCUAAAUCAUAUAUUUUCUGAAGUUCAAACCUUAAUCCUAAAACCAUAGAGUUUAGGGUUUUAGGGUUUAGAGUUGAGAGGUGGGAUAGAGUUUAGGGUUUAGAGUUGAUAUUUUAGGGUUUAGAGUUGAUGUUCUAGGGUUUAGAGUUUAGAUUUGAUGGUUUAGGAUUUAGGGUUUAGAGACGAGGUUUAAAGGUUUAGGGUUCAAAUUUCGAAAAAUAGGGUUUAAGUUUAGUGUUUGGGUUUAGAGUUAAUGGUUUAGGGUUUAGAGUUAAUGAUUUAGGGUUUAGAGUUGAGUUUUAGGGUUUAGAGUUGAUGGUUUAGGGUUUAGAGUUUAGAGAUGAGGUUUUAGGGUUUAAGGUUCGAAUUUUGAAAAAAAUUAGGGUUUAGGUUUAGGAUUUCGAGUUAAUGGUUUAAGGUUUAGAGUUAAGUUUUAGGGUUUAGGAUUCAAAUUUAAAAAUUGUAUAAUUCAAAAAAUUAAAAAUUUAUUUUUUAUUUUUAAAUUAUUUUUAUUUAUUUUUAAUUUUUAUCUAUUUAUUAUAUAUAUAUAACAAUGGUAUAAGAGUCUUUUAUCUUCUAAUG